GCCGGGCGCGGUGGCUCAUGCCUGUAAUCCCAGCACUUUGGGAGGCUGAGGUGGGUGGAUCACCUGAGGUCAGGAGUUCAAGACUAGCCUGGCCAACAUGGUGAAACCCCGUCUCUA
Pongo abelii (Sumatran orangutan) is the source of this 117-nucleotide unclassified non-coding RNA. It matches the Rfam family "Metazoan signal recognition particle RNA". Rfam says of the family: The signal recognition particle (SRP) is a universally conserved ribonucleoprotein. It is involved in the co-translational targeting of proteins to membranes. The eukaryotic SRP consists of a 300-nucleotide 7S RNA and six proteins: SRPs 72, 68, 54, 19, 14, and 9. NCBI's taxonomy places the organism in Eukaryota, Metazoa, Chordata, Mammalia, Primates, Hominidae. The record is from Ensembl.